Molecule: ribosomal RNA, 253 nt
Filed under: uncultured bacterium
Lineage: Bacteria
Description: partial 16S ribosomal RNA
Rfam family: Bacterial small subunit ribosomal RNA
Source: RNAcentral
UACGUAGGGUGCGAGCGUUAAUCGGAAUUACUGGGCGUAAAGCGUGCGCAGGCGGUUUUGUAAGCCAGAUGUGAAAUCCCCGGGCUCAACCUGGGAAUGGCAUUUGGGACUGCAAGGCUCGAGUUUGGCAGAGGAGACUGGAAUUCCUGGUGUAGCAGUGAAAUGCGUAGAUAUCAGGAGGAAUACCGAUGGCGAAGGCAGGUCUCUGGGCUGAAACUGACGCUCAUGCACGAAAGUGUGGGGAGCAAACAGG